GACCUGUAAAUUUCACACAGGCAAGUUACCUAGUAGCUGAACAUGAAUUUCUUUGGGAGGAAAAAAAUGGCUAAUAGGAGAUCAACAGCUCAUUUAAAGGAUUCAUUCAGAAUACAUCAGAAAGAUACACCUACAACAAGAUCACUCAAGCCAGUCCUCUGACCUCAUGUGGAUAAACACCCGAAAACUGCAAUCCAGCUGCAAGGUAUCCAGGAACAUCACACAAGAUGAAGCAACCCAAACUUCCCUUUUCUUUCUCUAAGACACAGCACAGUCUCAAGAACUUUUACUAGUUUCAGACCAUAGUCAUUUUAAAACUAUUAUUAUAGAAAGAAGACUCAGCUCAUUACGGAGUCUACUUCCAUUAAACACAGGAUACAAGAAAUUGAAGCUGUAUUGGCAAUAAUUUUAAGGUAACCUCUUUACUCAAAGUUGAUUCAGCUUACUAGCAAGACAACCAUGAAAAAGUCAACUGAGACUGAAAUUUUUUCAUCUGAUAUCAUUUCUGUGUUAUGAAAAAAAAGAGAAAACCAUACUGAGAACUCAAAUGUAAAUAAGUACAUGAGCCAGCA
Molecule: long non-coding RNA, 572 nt
Filed under: Fukomys damarensis (Damara mole-rat)
Lineage: Eukaryota; Metazoa; Chordata; Mammalia; Rodentia; Bathyergidae
Description: lncRNA (ENSFDAG00000028802.1)
Source: RNAcentral